AAAACCACUCAAGCUGUUUUGCUUGGUCAUGGAAGAAGAGUCCGCUUUGCCCGGUCUCCCUUCCGAAAUACAAUGGCGGAAGGUCUCUGGUACCCGGCGUAGUAAUAACUGUUCGCCUUGUGUCUCGAGAUGUUUCUGCCGUCAAACCCCCAAUUCUUCUUA
RNAcentral lists this unclassified non-coding RNA (162 nucleotides) under uncultured Tricharina. RNAcentral describes it as "sequence contains ITS2". The record is from RNAcentral. Lineage: Eukaryota; Fungi; Ascomycota; Pezizomycetes; Pezizales; Pyronemataceae.